GCCUCAUUGGCUUCAGGGGUGGAGCGUCUGUUUUGUAAACAGAAGGUCGCUGGUUCGAUUCCAACAUGAGGCG
Oesophagostomum dentatum (nodular worm) is the source of this 73-nucleotide non-coding RNA. NCBI's taxonomy places the organism in Eukaryota, Metazoa, Nematoda, Chromadorea, Rhabditida, Strongylidae. The record is from Rfam.